AAAAAGGGCUGAGCAUCAGAAUUCCCGACAAAAGAACUUAAGCCCCUGGAUCCAGCAAUGCCUGAUGCCUACCCUCGACUUUUAAGUUACUUAAGCCAAUAAAUUUGCUCUUUUUCUGGGAGCCAGUUUGAGUUGGGUCUUCUAAUACUUACCAGUCCAGUACUCUCCUUUGUGAAUUACAAAUUGAGACAUAAAGACGGAAGCCUAUUUAUAUUGGCUUAAACUAAGAGACCACAGAAUACCAGGUUGAAUGGCCAUGUGCUCGCCUGAGCACAAAUACCAGAGACACAGAGAGAGGUUGCAGAGAGGAACAAAAGUGAGAGAGAGAUGGAACAGAUAAAAAGAUAGAGGGGAAGACGAGAGACCAUGUGGCUUCAGAAAAAAUAGGAAAGGCCUUUUCUUUACCCCUGGGAUCUUCGUGGUCUCUGCUUCUGAACCCGCAGGGAGGCUGGCUACAUUUCCUGCCCUCAGUUCUUCCCCCAGCUCUCAUAUCUUCCCCAAAAUUGGCCUCCUGGACUUGAAUUCAUUUGAGUGGAUUUCUUGCCUCCAAAUAAUUCACAAUCAACACAGCAGCUGAUUGGAUAGGAGAGACAGGGAAAAGAAAUAUACCAAGGAUUACAUCAGAGAUUAUAUCAUGGGGAGAGGAGAGGGAGGAGCACAAGGUUGCGGGUGGGGGUGACCCAGAAUUAAAGCCUGUUAAGGCCCUUUUAUGUGCCUAAAGCCAAGCCUGCUACAAAUACUGCAAAUUCCUCUCUCCUGGAAACCAAAAGUCCAUGCAGCUCAAACAACCGGAAUCCCACGAUCCUGCCCUGCAUGGAUGCUCAGAAGGUUGUUGGUCGGCACAUGGCUGUAUUUGUGCUGAUCUGACUCUGGGGAUUAAAGGUUUCACUUGUUCGUGCCCUCAGUCAGCGUGCUGGAGGGUCACCAUCCUCCUUUUGAUGGCACCCCCUGCCUCCUCAUUUCCAUCUGCACCUGUCAAUCUCACCACACUCAGCAGCGUCUUCCUGGCCUCAGUCUCUCAUGCCUUCCAUCACUGGAUAAAGACCUA
This 1048-nucleotide long non-coding RNA is filed under the name Macaca fascicularis (crab-eating macaque). RNAcentral's name for it is "lncRNA (ENSMFAG00000061923.1)". Lineage: Eukaryota; Metazoa; Chordata; Mammalia; Primates; Cercopithecidae. The record is from RNAcentral.